GGGUGGGGCACAUUUCUUGCUUUCCUCUCCUUUCUUUCUUUGCCAUGAGAAACUCUCUUUUUGCUUGCCUAUUCAAAAGUGAGGUCUGUCUAGGUUGCCCAAGUGUUUCCCGUGCCUCAGCAUGUCUUGUGAGUAGCUGGGGCCGUGGGUGCUAGACUCAAUACACUGUUCCACCGAUCUGAUUUUUGACUGCUCUUAUUGUUCUGUUCCAGAAUAUUCGGCUCUCCUUUCUUCUUCUUCUAAAAAAAAUGUGGCAUCACAUGAUAUGUGACCAGGUUGGAGGCAUCAGGAUUUUUUUUUCCUUCACAGCUGCCAAACAUGCAGUAGGACACAUCUGUACCUCCCACACUGGAGGAUCUCUAAAGGACCUUCAAGGAAAAUACAAAAUAGAAGAAGUGAAUCCUAGAGAUUCUUCCCAUGAGAUCCCUCUCUUUCUUCCACUUUUUUCUUUGGGGAAAUGAAAAUCCAGGUUUAAAUAAAUAAAAACAGAAAUUUGAAACACAGACUGGAUUCUCUAGGUGCCAAGUAAGUCUACAGAUAAAAUUAGGUCAAUCCUCCAUGGAUCCCAGAACAAAUCUGCAGGUACUCAAUGCCCU
Molecule: long non-coding RNA, 596 nt
Filed under: Marmota monax (woodchuck)
Lineage: Eukaryota; Metazoa; Chordata; Mammalia; Rodentia; Sciuridae
Source: RNAcentral